Molecule: ribosomal RNA, 497 nt
Filed under: uncultured bacterium
Lineage: Bacteria
Description: partial 16S ribosomal RNA
Rfam family: Bacterial small subunit ribosomal RNA
Source: RNAcentral
GAUGAACGCUGGCGGCGUGCCUAAUACAUGCAAGUCGAGCGAACGGACGAGAAGCUUGCUUUUCUGAUGUUAGCGGCGGACGGGUGAGUAACACGUGGAUAACCUACCUAUAAGACUGGGAUAACUUCGGGAAACCGGAGCUAAUACCGGAUAAUAUUUUGAACCGCAUGGUUCAAAAGUGAAAGACGGUCUUGCUGUCACUUAUAGAUGGAUCCGCGCUGCAUUAGCUAGUUGGUAAGGUAACGGCCUACCAAGGCAACGAUGCAUAGCCGACCUGAGAGGGUGAUCGGCCACACUGGAACUGAGACACGGUCCAGACUCCUACGGGAGGCAGCGGUAGGGAAUCUUCCGCAAUGGGCGAAAGCCUGACGGAGCAACGCCGCGUGAGUGAUGAAGGUCUUCGGAUCGUAAAACUCUGUUAUUAGGGAAGAACAUAUGUGUAAGUAACUGUGCACGUCUUGACGGUACCUAAUCAGAAAGCCACGGCUAACUACGCG